AGCGAACGCUGGCGGCAGGCUUAACACAUGCAAGUCGAGCGGGCCCUUCGGGGUCAGCGGCGGACGGGUGAGUAACGCGUGGGAACGUGCCUUCUGGUCUGGAAUAACCCUGGGAAACUAGGGCUAAUACCGGAUACGCCCUUUUGGGGAAAGGUUUACUGCCGGAAGAUCGGCCCGCGUCUGAUUAGCUAGUUGGUGGGGUAACGGCCUACCAAGGCGACGAUCAGUAGCUGGUCUGGGAGGAUGAUGAGCCACACUGGGACUGAGACACGGCCCAGACGCCUACGGGGGGCAGCAGGGGGGAAUAUUGGACAAGGGGCGCAAGCCUGAUCCAGCCAUGCCGCGUGAGUGAUGAAGGCCUUAGGGUUGAAAAGCUUUUUUACCCGGGACGAUAAGGACGGUACCGGAGGAAUAAGCCCCGGCUAACUUCGUGCCAGCAGCCGCAGUAA
Molecule: ribosomal RNA, 449 nt
Filed under: uncultured bacterium
Lineage: Bacteria
Description: partial 16S ribosomal RNA
Rfam family: Bacterial small subunit ribosomal RNA
Source: RNAcentral